ACGAACGCUGGCGGCGUGCUUAACACAUGCAAGUCGAACGGAAAGGCCCUGCGUUUGUGGGGUGCUCGCGUGGCGAACGGGUGAGUAACACGUGAGUAACCUGCCCUUGACUUUGGGAUAACUUCAGGAAACUGGGGCUAAUACCGGAUAGGAGCUCCUGCUGCAUGGUGGGGGUUGGAAAGUUUCGGCGGUUGGGGAUGGACUCGCGGCUUAUCAGCUUGUUGGUGGGGUAGUGGCUUACCAAGGCUUUGACGGGUAGCCGGCCUGAGAGGGUGACCGGCCACAUUGGGACUGAGAUACGGCCCAGACUCCUACGGGAGGCAGCAGUGGGGAAUAUUGCACAAUGGGCGGAAGCCUGAUGCAGCAACGCCGCGUGCGGGAUGACGGCCUUCGGGUUGUAAACCGCUUUCGCCUGUGACGAAGCGUGAGUGACGGUAAUGGGUAAAGAAGCACCGGCUAACUACGUG
This 467-nucleotide ribosomal RNA is filed under the name uncultured bacterium. RNAcentral's name for it is "partial 16S ribosomal RNA". It matches the Rfam family "Bacterial small subunit ribosomal RNA", at positions 29 to 507 of the family's 1533-position model. The record is from RNAcentral.